RNAcentral lists this ribosomal RNA (402 nucleotides) under uncultured bacterium. RNAcentral's name for it is "bacterial SSU rRNA". It matches the Rfam family "Bacterial small subunit ribosomal RNA", at positions 355 to 774 of the family's 1533-position model. The record is from RNAcentral.
UGGGGAAUAUUGGACAAUGGGCGAAAGCCUGAUCCAGCCAUGCCGCAUGAGUGAAGAAGGCCUUUGGGUUGUAAAGCUCUUUUAGUGAGGAAGAUAAUGACGGUACUCACAGAAGAAGUCCUGGCUAACUCCGUGCCAGCAGCCGCGGUAAUACGGAGAGGGCUAGCGUUAUUCGGAAUUAUUGGGCGUAAAGGGCGCGUAGGCUGGUUAGUAAGUUAAAAGUGAAAUCCCGAGGCUUAACCUUGGAACUGCUUUUAAAACUGCUAACCUAGAGAUUGAAAGAGGAUAGAGGAAUUCCUAGUGUAGAGGUGAAAUUCGUAAAUAUUAGGAGGAACACCAGUGGCGAAGGCGUCUAUCUGGUUCAAAUCUGACGCUGAGGCGCGAAGGCGUGGGGAGCAAACA